This 3196-nucleotide long non-coding RNA is filed under the name Nicotiana tabacum (common tobacco). RNAcentral describes it as "long non-coding RNA (NTAB_LNC012119)". The record is from RNAcentral. Lineage: Eukaryota; Viridiplantae; Streptophyta; Magnoliopsida; Solanales; Solanaceae.
GUGCUCUAAAGAUGCCUCCCACGCGUUCCGACCUCUGAACGGCUCGAAACUAACUAAAAACAACUCAAGUACAUCAAACAAUGCUAAAGGAACCAAUCCCGAUCGAAAAAGAUCAAAUCUUGAAUCAAAAGCCCGAAAUCGGCAAAAAGCCCAAUCCGGGCCCGCACCUCAGAACCCGACAAAAUUUAUAAAAUUAAACAACCCAUUCAAUUACGAGUCCAACCAUACUAGUUUUACUGAAAUCCGACUCAGAAAAUUCAUAUUAUGAAACUUUAGGCCAAAACCCCCAAUUUCCUCUUUAAAAUUCAUCAACCAAAAGCUAAAAUCGAAGAUAGAUUCAUAGAAUAUAACCAAAACCGAGUAGAGAACACUUAUCCCAAUUCAUAUGGUGAAAAUUGCUCCAAAUAUCGCCUCAAUCCGAGCUUGAAAAUGUAAAAAUGAAGCCAAAAUUGCAACCCUUGUAUAUAACAUUCUGCCCAGCACAUCCGCAUUUGCGGAAAAUUCGUCGCAUCUACUGUCGCUCCCCUCUUUCUCGCAAAAUCGGGCUUUGACGUUGACCACUCUUUUAAAUGGGGAGGAAGGGUUAUUAAAAGAGAGAGUUUCCACCUAACAGAUUAAAUUGCGUUAGGGCACCUAUUUGCAAAUGACUCAGGUUUACUAGUCUGCGUCACCAAAGAUCGGGUAAGGGCUCAAAUUACCUCGAUUAGAAGGUGUUAGGCACUCCUCGAGGUCCACAAUGGUGGGUCCCAGUUGAACUCAAAUCAUGUGAAUUAAUCUAAGAGAAAAGAAUCAAUUUGGAUAAAUAAAGAACUAUUUUAACAGGAAUGGGGGGAGGGGGUCCUAUGUUUUUUAGCCUAACGGAUCACCCCAUGCAACAUAAAUAAUACUUCGUAACUCCCUCAAGACGGGGUGUUACUCAUAUUAUUCAGCGGGCACAGACUAUCAUCUCCUGCUACCUGAUUACUAUCUUUAAGUUGUUUACCUAAAGCACUCUAUUUGAUUCUAAGUCGUACCCUAUGCGUGCACUACCCGUCCCUUGCCUAUGGCCCAGGAGGCGUUUGGACCUCUAUUUUGGAUAGUUCUAGACUUAACUUAGGUUGCUCAAAAUGAUAAAACUAAGCGACAUACAAAACAAGUUGGACCUUCAUGUAAAAGCAAAUAAGGGCUCAAGUUACCCUCCACACUUAGGCAGCAAAUGCACGCAAACAAAUUAGGCGUUUUGACAGUUUCAACAAUUAAAGUUGUUAGGUCCUAUAGACAUGAUUUCUAUGUGAUUCUGGAUUUUAAUCAUGCGAGCAGUUAUGCAAAGUAUAAUUCCUGCGUGACUGCACAAUCGCCUACUGAUUAUGAGUAUAAGCGGUUAAAACGUAUAGACAUGCUAUCUAGGUAAUUUACGCAGUAUUUAGCAGUAAUAAACACGAGAUAUAUUCAGAAUUACUCUGUUUGUCCCUAUAGGCAUGCUUUCUACUGGUGUUCAUCGAGACAGUGUUUUUUAAAAGUCUACUUUUAGCACUUAGUGCAGAUAGGGAUUACCCUAUAGACAUGAUACGUACCUUUGAUGACUGAAACUGGUUUUAGUUCCUAUGAGCAUGUAUACUAAAUGGGCAAGUAUGAUAAUAGCAUAUCAAUCAAUUAAGAACCCUAUAGGCAUGAUUUCUAAAAAAAUGCAGAUUUGUAGAGCAUAAAUAUCCCUAUGAUCAUGAUGCCUAAUGAAUAUGCUGCAAUGCAAAUUGAACUUUGGUUACUUUAUUUCCUAUAGGCAUGGUAUCUAACAUAUAGAGGCAAAAUAGAUUAGACGGAUUAAACACCUAUAGGCAGGUUAUCUACCACACACAGUAACAGAACAUAUUCGAGUAAAGUAAACACCUAUAGGCAGGUUAUCAACACACAAUAGCAGAACGUAUUUGAAUAAAGUAAACACCUAUAGGCAGGUUAUCUAAUACAUAAUAGCAGAACGAGCAAUGUAAACACCUAUAGGCAGGAUUUCUACCCAUUCUUAUGCAAAAUGUUAAAAUAAACCCUGUUUCCCAAUUUACUAACAUCCCAAUUAUUAUUACAAAUAACUAUUACAGACCAUAUUUUAAUGAAUAGAUUACAAAGUAUAUAAAACUAUAGGAAGCCUGCAGCAGGCCCAAAUGCACCUGGACAGGCCAGGCCUUCAACUCAUAGUGGCUCCAAAAGCCUAUGUUUAUAGAUACACCAUAACCAUCAGUGAAUGAUUCACCUAUAUCUCAAGGAUAAGCAUACAGAACCAAAUCUCUAGUGUUUCAGAGUUUCCAAGGGCUUCAAGAACCCAGGGCAGGGCUCACACUAGAGAAGAAUGAUCAGAAUAGUUCAAAGAAGACUAGGGACCAAAUCCUAGUGUGUCAGAGUUCACGAGGGUCUCAUAUGUACCCUGAGCAGUGUUCUCACACUAGGGAGGCCAAGGGACAUAACCUAAAUUGCUUUAGCUUUCAGCCAGCAAAGAGUGAGAAUUCAGGAGAGUAAGAUGGGAUUAGGGGGUACAGAAUCACACAUAGAACACAAACAAAUAGCAACACAUUUGAACCUAGGCAGACUUAAUUCAGUUUUUAGAAGUUAACACAGUCACAUGCUAAUAAGAACAGUUCAUAAACAUGUUCACAGUGAUAACAAAGACUGCAGAUCAGACUAAGUCACAGAAAGAAAGCUCAAUAAUUAACAGUAGGCCAGGAACACACUAAUUAGUAUUAGGAACUGAUUAAACAAUUUAGCAUAGGUAUCAUAACAUAGUGAGCACAGAACCAAACGAAUCACAUGGUAACAGGUUCAACAAAUAAACUGAUGAAUCUAUUAAAGCACACAUAAUUAACCAGUCCUUAAGAAAAGGUAUCAAAACAUUUUUUACCCUAAAAGACAACCCUAAAUAACACAGAGGUAGGCAGAUUUCACUAAUCGAUUCAACUAAGUUCAACGCGACUAUAAGUAAUAGCAAUUAGGGUAACAUGGUUUAAUGGCAGCAACACAUUAAACAAGUAAUCAUAAUGGAAUAGCAAAGGAUUCAAUAACUCACCAGUUAAGGUGAAACAGGGAAAAAGGAAUCCAACAAUGUAGCAAUUGUCUCUAACAGAAGCAGAACAAUUGAGGAUUUCUGGUCUUGGCUUCCAGCCGGCCAGGAAUCAAAAGCACAGAAUAAUAUUGUCACGACCCAGUUUCACCUGUAGGUCAUGAUGGCGCC